GCGCAGCAGUCGCGAAUCUUUGGCAAUGGGGGAAACCCUGACCGAGCGACGCCGCGUGUGGGAUGAAGGCCCUUGGGUUGUAAACCACUGUCAGAGGGGAUGAAAUGCCGGAAAGUUAUCUCUCCGGUUUGACAUAGCCUCAGAGGAAGCACGGGCUAAGUUCGUGCCAGCAGCCGCGGUAAGACGAACUGUGCAAACGUUAUUCGGAAUCACUGGGCUUGAAGAGUGCGUAGGCGGUUUCGUAAGUAGGGUGUGAAAGCCCCCGGCUCAACCGGGGAAUUGCGUCCUAAACUGCGAGGCUGGAGUGAGGUAGGGUGUGUGGAACUUCCAGUGGAGCGGUGAAAUGUGUUGAUAUUGGAAGGAACGCCGGUGGCGAAAGCGACACACUGGACCUUGUCUGACGCUGAGGCACGAAAGCCAGGGGAGCAAACGGGAUUAGAUACCCCUGUAGU
RNAcentral lists this ribosomal RNA (452 nucleotides) under uncultured organism. RNAcentral's name for it is "bacterial SSU rRNA". It matches the Rfam family "Bacterial small subunit ribosomal RNA", at positions 346 to 794 of the family's 1533-position model. The record is from RNAcentral.